RNAcentral lists this ribosomal RNA (254 nucleotides) under uncultured bacterium. Its description in RNAcentral is "partial 16S ribosomal RNA". It matches the Rfam family "Bacterial small subunit ribosomal RNA", at positions 524 to 776 of the family's 1533-position model. The record is from RNAcentral.
UACAGAGGUGGCAAGCGUUAUUCGGAAUCACUGGGCUUAAAGCGCGUGUAGGCGGAUGAGCACGUCUGUCGCUGAAAUCCCCCGGCUCAACCGGGGAACGGGCGUGGAUACGGCUUGUCUGGAGGGGCGUAGGGGGACCUGGAACUUCCGGUGGAGCGGUGAAAUGCGUUGAGAUCGGAAGGAACGCCCGUGGCGAAAGCGAGGUCCUGGACGCCUACUGACGCUGAGACGCGAAAGCCAGGGGAGCGAACGGG